RNAcentral lists this ribosomal RNA (639 nucleotides) under uncultured Actinomycetes bacterium. RNAcentral's name for it is "bacterial SSU rRNA". It matches the Rfam family "Bacterial small subunit ribosomal RNA", at positions 232 to 885 of the family's 1533-position model. The record is from RNAcentral. Lineage: Bacteria; Bacillati; Actinomycetota; Actinomycetes.
CGCGGCCUAUCAGCUUGUUGGUGGGGUAAUGGCCCACCAAGGCUUCGACGGGUAGCUGGUCUGAGAGGACGAUCAGCCACGCUGGGACUGAGACACGGCCCAGACUCCUACGGGAGGCAGCAGUGGGGAAUCUUGCGCAAUGGGCGAAAGCCUGACGCAGCAACGCCGCGUGGGGGAUGAAGGCUCUCGGGUCGUAAACCCCUUUCAGCAGGGACGAAACUGACGGUACCUGCAGAAGAAGCCCCGGCCAACUACGUGCCAGCAGCCGCGGUAACACGUAGGGGGCAAGCGUUGUCCGGAUUUAUUGGGCGUAAAGAGCUCGUAGGUGGUUCGGUAAGUCAGGUGUGAAACCUCCAGGCUCAACCUGGAGACGCCACUUGAUACUGCUGUGACUGGAGUCCGGUAGGGGAGCGUGGAAUUCCCGGAGUAGCGGUGAAAUGCGCAGAUAUCAGGAGGAACACCAGCGGCGAAGGCGGCGCUCUGGGCCGGUACUGACACUGAGGAGCGAAAGCGUGGGUAGCAAACAGGAUUAGAUACCCUGGUAGUCCACGCCGUAAACGUUGGGCACUAGGUGUGGGUCACAACCAACGUGAUCUGUGCCGUAGCUAACGCAUUUUUUCCCCCGCCUGGGGAGUACGG